This 482-nucleotide ribosomal RNA is filed under the name uncultured bacterium. Its description in RNAcentral is "partial 16S ribosomal RNA". It matches the Rfam family "Bacterial small subunit ribosomal RNA", at positions 28 to 523 of the family's 1533-position model. The record is from RNAcentral.
GAUGAACGCUGGCGGCGUGCUUAACACAUGCAAGUCGAACGGUGAAGCAGAGCUUGCUCUGUGGAUCAGUGGCGAACGGGUGAGUAACACGUGAGCAACCUGCCCCUGACUCUGGGAUAAGCGCUGGAAACGGCGUCUAAUACUGGAUAUGUGACGUGGCCGCAUGGUCUGCGUCUGGAAAGAAUUUCGGUUGGGGAUGGGCUCGCGGCCUAUCAGCUUGUUGGUGAGGUAAUGGCUCACAAAGGCGUCGACGGGUAGCCGGCCUGAGAGGGUGACCGGCCACACUGGGACUGAGACACGGCCCAGACUCCUACGGGAGGCAGCAGUGGGGAAUAUUGCACAAUGGGCGAAAGCCUGAUGCAGCAACGCCGCGUGAGGGAUGACGGCCUUCGGGUUGUAAACCUCUUUUAGCAGGGAAGAAGCGAAAGUGACGGUACCUGCAGAAAAAGCGCCGGCUAACUACGUGCCAGCCGCCGCCGUAA